CUACGUUCUCAGGGCGGGGUGAAACUCCCCACCGGCGGUAAUGCCCUCCCCUCGCGAGAGAGAGGGACGAGCCCGCGGGCGCCCUCCCGAGCUUCGGCGACGGAGGGGACGAGCAGAGCCGGUGCGAUCCCGGAGCCGACGGUCAUAGUCCGGUUAUGAGAACGGUC
This 167-nucleotide non-coding RNA is filed under the name Phenylobacterium sp. Its description in RNAcentral is "FMN sequence". It matches the Rfam family "FMN riboswitch aptamer (RFN element)". Rfam says of the family: The RFN element is a highly conserved domain that is found frequently in the 5'-untranslated regions of prokaryotic mRNAs that encode for flavin mononucleotide (FMN) biosynthesis and transport proteins. This element is a metabolite-dependent riboswitch that directly binds FMN in the absence of proteins. Lineage: Bacteria; Pseudomonadati; Pseudomonadota; Alphaproteobacteria; Caulobacterales; Caulobacteraceae. The record is from RNAcentral.